This is a non-coding RNA of Macaca mulatta (Rhesus monkey), 255 nucleotides long. The record is from RefSeq and is a predicted model, not a curated record. NCBI's taxonomy places the organism in Eukaryota, Metazoa, Chordata, Mammalia, Primates, Cercopithecidae.
AAAGUGAUUUGCAACCUAGAACUCUAUACUCAAACUCUUAAUCAAAUGAAAAGUAGAAUAAGACAUUUUCAGAUAAGCAAAGUCUCAAAAACGUUGACCUCCCUUGUAUCUUUCCUCAGGAAGCUAGGAUAUACCACAAUGAAAAAAUGGAGUACAUCAUGAAAUGUGACAACAUCAGCUCUGGGAAACAUGAGAUCCAACAGGGAAGACAGCUUCAACCACACAACACCAUUGGAGGACCCUCUACUCAAAGAA